This 376-nucleotide ribosomal RNA is filed under the name uncultured Gammaproteobacteria bacterium. Its description in RNAcentral is "bacterial SSU rRNA". It matches the Rfam family "Bacterial small subunit ribosomal RNA", at positions 521 to 896 of the family's 1533-position model. The record is from RNAcentral. Lineage: Bacteria; Pseudomonadati; Pseudomonadota; Gammaproteobacteria.
UAAUACGGAAGGUGCGAGCGUUAAUCGGAAUUACUGGGCGUAAAGAGUACGUAGGCUGUUAGAUAAGUCGGAUGUGAAAUCCCCGGGCUCAACCUGGGAACUGCAUCCGAAACUAUUUAACUAGAGUAUGGGAGUGGUAAGUAGAAUUUCCGGUGUAGCGGUGAAAUGCGUAGAUAUCGGAAGGAAUACCAGUGGCGAAGGCGGCUUACUGGACCAAUACUGACGCUGAGGUACGAAAGCGUGGGGAGCAAACAGGAUUAGAUACCCUGGUAGUCCACGCCGUAAACGAUGAGAACUAGAUGUUGGGAGGAUUGGCCUUUCAGUGUCGCAGCUAACGCAUUAAGUUCUCCGCCUGGGGAGUACGACCGCAAGGUUG